GUGGGGAAUAUUGCGCAAUGGCCGCAAGGCUGACGCAGCGACGCCGCGUGUGGGAUGAAGGCCUUCGGGUUGUAAACCACUGUCGGGAGGGGCGAAUACCCGGCUUCGAUAAGGAGACCGGGGGUGACGGUACCUCCAAAGGAAGCACCGGCUAACUCCGUGCCAGCAGCCGCGGUAAUACGGAGGGUGCGAGCGUUGUCCGGAAUCACUGGGCGUAAAGGGCGCGUAGGCGGCUUUGUAAGUCACCUGUGAAAUUCCGGGGCUCAACUCCGGAGCUGCAGGUGAGACUGCAUGGCUAGAGCUCGGUAGAGGCGAGUGGAAUUCCCGGUGUAGCGGUGGAAUGCGUAGAUAUCGGGAAGAACACCAGUGGCGAAGGCGGCUCGCUGGGCCGAUGCUGACGCUGAGGCGCGAAAGCGUGGGGAGCAAACAGGAUUAGAAACCCUUGUAGUCC
RNAcentral lists this ribosomal RNA (451 nucleotides) under uncultured bacterium. RNAcentral's name for it is "bacterial SSU rRNA". It matches the Rfam family "Bacterial small subunit ribosomal RNA", at positions 354 to 796 of the family's 1533-position model. The record is from RNAcentral.